This 506-nucleotide ribosomal RNA is filed under the name uncultured bacterium. RNAcentral's name for it is "partial 16S ribosomal RNA". It matches the Rfam family "Bacterial small subunit ribosomal RNA", at positions 29 to 523 of the family's 1533-position model. The record is from RNAcentral.
AUUGAACGCUGGCGGCAGGCCUAACACAUGCAAGUCGGACGGUAGCACAGAGGAGCUUGCUCCUCGGGUGACGAGUGGCGGACGGGUGAGUAAUGUCUGGGGAUCUGCCCGAUAGAGGGGGAUAACCACUGGAAACGGUGGCUAAUACCGCAUAACGUCGCAAGACCAAAGAGGGGGACCUUCGGGCCUCUCACUAUCGGAUGAACCCAGAUGGGAUUAGCUAGUAGGCGGGGUAACGGCCCACCUAGGCGACGAUCCCUAGCUGGUCUGAGAGGAUGAACAGCCACACUGGAACUGAGACACGGUCCAGACUCCUACAGGAGGCAGCAGUGGGGAAUAUUGCACAAUGGGCGCAAGCCUGAUGCAGCCAUGCCGCAUGUAUGAAGAAGGCCUUCGGGUUGUAAAGUACUUUCAGCGGGGAGGAAGGCGAUGUGGUUAAUAACCGCAUUGAUUGACGUUACCCGCAGAAGAAGCACCGGCUAACUCCGUGCCAGCCGCCGCAGUAA